AUGGCUCUGGGCUGGAGCAAGGCUUUCCUUAGAGAAGCCAGUCCCCUUCCCCUUGCCCCCGCACUGCUGUCCCCCUGGGCCACGCUGCCCCCACAGCCUCUGCCUGCUGUGUGGAGGCAACGAGGGGCGGCCUGCUGCUGGUGGAGGCCGGGGGAGCGGCUGCUCUGGCUAGGAGUGGGACAAUUAAUGUCCUCCGUCAGGGCGGCAAGUCUCCAGACUUUGAGAAACAUCCCGGGGUUGGGCCGUGCCUGCCUGUUCCUGCAGUGGCUGAAAUACAGCCUUAUCCUGAGGGAAAUGGCGGUGAGAGGCGGCUGCCGGCUGGGAAAGGGGGGAGGCCUUGUGGCUGCGGAGAGCAGGAGCUGCUGCCGGCUGCUGUGGUGCGAAACGAAGAAGCACUUGUGUCCCAACUUCUUCAGGAGCUUAAAAAGACCUUCCUCUUGCUUCAGAGAUAAGGAGUAAGGGGAGAAAAAAGGGAAGUGAAGGACAGGGAGACUCACAGUGUUGGCAGAAGAAACAGAUGCUGGCAGAAGAAAUGGAUGAAGAAGCAGAGUGUGGUUUAUCACACCUGAACACGGGAAGAAUUAGGCUGAGGCUCAUCUGUUUCUCUUUGGUUUGGAGGCUGUGCUAUUGUCAGUUCUUUCUCUAGUAUGUUGUUUAUCUACGCUGAAAGAGAAUGGUGAGAUUUAGAUACAGCAGUAAAAUGUCAUGAAAUUUUGCAUGAAUAUUCUGCAUAAAGUGUGAAUUGCUAGGUGACCAUAAUGCAGAAAGAUAAUUUGAAUCAGCUGUGCUAUAAGCUGGGUGUCGCCUCGCUUCACAUCCCAGUUCAGACGGUUGGAUUGAGAACAUCAGAAGGAGGUGCUGCUUUCUGACACUGAGAUACAGCCAGGAUCACGAGCUAUGACAAUCAGAUUUUUCAUCUAAAUUACCUGAUUGCAGCAGGUGCAUUAUGUGACAGGGAAUGUACCAAAGCCACAUGGACUUGCUCAUAUGCAUCAGAUUUCAUGACUGCCGUGGAAGUACUUCUUUUAUCCACACCAUAUGGCAGUUCAAGACACAUUAAAUAGCCUUUUUCUUCCGCCAGGAUUGGCAAAAACCCUAAUCCAACAGCAAAUUUCUAUACAAAAUCAGCAGUCUCUAACAAAAUGACACAGUCACAAUUCGGCAUGGUAUCAAGUGAUGGCAUUAUAGCCAUCCAUCUGCUGUACUGCAGGAAAAAAAAAUCUUAAAGCAAUAGCCACCAUUCUAAAUGACUCCCAUUUUAUUUCCUGUUAAACAUGGCUAAGUGUAUAAAUGUUUUUACCACAAAUGAACUGCCAUAAAUAUAUAUAUAUAUGCAUUUGUGUGUGUUCAGUAAGUGAGGCUGAGAGUAAAUGCCAGUGCAAGUAAGUCCAGAUUCAGAAGUGUUGUGGAGAACAUAAUCCAUGAACAGCUGACUGCCAAAAUGCUAACCACAUGGUAGCAUCAUAGUAGUAGCAUCAUAGGGUGCUAACAAGCACCGAGACAUUUGUAUCAGAGGGACUGUUGAUGUCUUCAGUUAAGGUUCACAAAUUCACAAGUUAUAUAAAAUAAAUGGAUUCAAAGGUAAUAUUUUAACA
This is a long non-coding RNA of Anser cygnoides (Swan goose), 1595 nucleotides long. Lineage: Eukaryota; Metazoa; Chordata; Aves; Anseriformes; Anatidae. The record is from Ensembl.